This 21-nucleotide microRNA is filed under the name Tetranychus urticae (two-spotted spider mite). Its description in RNAcentral is "tur-miR-34-3p". Its record names the gene tur-miR-34-3p. Lineage: Eukaryota; Metazoa; Arthropoda; Arachnida; Trombidiformes; Tetranychidae. The record is from miRBase by way of RNAcentral.
CCACUGAUUGCACUGCCCAUA